GACGAACGCUGGCGGCGUGCUUAACACAUGCAAGUCGAACGGUGAAGCGCCUUCCUUUUUGGUGGGUGUGGAUGAGUGGCGAACGGGUGAGUAACACGUGAGUAACCUGCCCCCUUCUUCUGGAUAACCGCAUGAAAGUGUUGCUAAUACGGGAUAUUCUGGGUCUGUCGCAUGAGGGGUCGGGGAAAGUUAUUGUUUCGGUGGUGGAUGGGCUCGCGGCCUAUCAGCUUGUUGGUGGGGUGAUGGCUUACCAAGGCGGUGACGGGUAGCCGGCCUGAGAGGGUAGACGAUCACACUGGGAAUGCGACACCGCCCCGACUACGACGGGAGGCAGCAGUGGGGACUAUUGCACAGUGGGAGGAAGCCUGAUGCAGCGCCGCCGCGGGAGGGAUGGAGGCCUUCGGGUUGUGAACCUCUUUCGCCAGUGAAGCAGGCCUGCCUCGUUUGUGGGUGGGUUGACGGUAGCUGGAUAAGAAGCGCCGGCUAACUACGUG
This 494-nucleotide ribosomal RNA is filed under the name uncultured bacterium. RNAcentral describes it as "partial 16S ribosomal RNA". It matches the Rfam family "Bacterial small subunit ribosomal RNA", at positions 28 to 507 of the family's 1533-position model. The record is from RNAcentral.